Molecule: ribosomal RNA, 408 nt
Filed under: uncultured bacterium
Lineage: Bacteria
Description: partial 16S ribosomal RNA
Rfam family: Bacterial small subunit ribosomal RNA
Source: RNAcentral
GACGAACGCUGGCGGCGUGCUUAACACAUGCAAGUUGAACGAAGUGGCGAACGGGUGAGUAACGCGUACUCAACCUGCCCUUCAGAGGGGGACAACAGUUGGAAACGACUGCUAAUACCGCAUACUGAAGGCGGGGCUUGCGUCUGAUUAGCUAGUUGGAGUGGUAACGGCCCACCAAGGCGAUGAUCGGUAGCCGGUCUGAGAGGAUGAACGGCCACAUUGGGACUGAGACACGGCCCAGACUCGUACGGGGGGCAGCAGUGGGGAAUCUGCCGCAAUGGACGAAAGUCUGACGGAGCAACGCCGCGUGAGUGAUGAUGGCCUUCGGGUUGUAAAGCUCUGUUAAUCGGGACGCGGUACCGGAAUAGAAAGCCACGGCUAACUACGUGCCAGCCGCCGCGGUAAUUC